CCGACCCACACAGAGUUAUAUCUGCAGGUCAGAGGCUGUCAUCACCCAGCAAAGUGCGGUAGUGUGUGACGCUCCGUGCUACAUAGAGGGAAAGCGGUCUCAGAUUCCGACACCUUGCCAGAACAACGUCUCUGUCAGCAAGCCAAAGACUGUUGCAGAGAUGAUAGUUUCAAACCAGUGGUGUUGUGGGUGCUCGCUCAGGAUGGCCACCAUAAUCAUUGCCGUCUUGUGUAUGGUUUGGUGCCUUUUUCAAUUAGCAAUAAUAGCGUACAGUUUGCACAACUCCCUUCAGUACUUCAACGGUGAUGUAAACAG
Molecule: long non-coding RNA, 315 nt
Organism: Schistocerca gregaria
Lineage: Eukaryota; Metazoa; Arthropoda; Insecta; Orthoptera; Acrididae
Exons: 3
Source: RefSeq, a predicted model, not a curated record